Molecule: microRNA precursor, 207 nt
Filed under: Oryza barthii
Lineage: Eukaryota; Viridiplantae; Streptophyta; Magnoliopsida; Poales; Poaceae
Description: MIR812 microRNA precursor family
Rfam family: MIR812 microRNA precursor family
Source: Rfam by way of RNAcentral
AAAAAGACAAAACAUGGUUUCUGUGUCUAACGUUUGACCGUCUGUCUUAUUUGAAAAAAUUAUGAAAAAAUAAUUAAAAAGACAAGUCACGCAUAAAAUAUUAAUUAUGUUUUAUCAUCUAACAACAAUGAAAAUAUAAAUUAUAAAAAAAAUUUAUAUAAGACGGACAGUUAAAGUUGGACACGAAAAUUCAGGGUUUGUCUUUUU